RNAcentral lists this ribosomal RNA (253 nucleotides) under uncultured bacterium. RNAcentral describes it as "partial 16S ribosomal RNA". It matches the Rfam family "Bacterial small subunit ribosomal RNA", at positions 524 to 776 of the family's 1533-position model. The record is from RNAcentral.
UACGUAGGGUGCGAGCGUUGUCCGGAAUUAUUGGGCGUAAAGAGCUCGUAGGCGGCCUGUCGCGUCGGAUGUGAAAGCCCGGGGCUUAACCCCGGGUCUGCAGCCGAUACGGGCAAGCUAGAGUUCGGUAGGGGAGACUGGAAUUCCUGGUGUAGCGGUGAAAUGCGCAGAUAUCAGGAGGAACACCGGUGGCGAAGGCGGGUCUCUGGGCCGAAACUGACGCUGAGGAGCGAAAGCGUGGGGAGCAAACAGG